Molecule: ribosomal RNA, 253 nt
Filed under: uncultured bacterium
Lineage: Bacteria
Description: partial 16S ribosomal RNA
Rfam family: Bacterial small subunit ribosomal RNA
Source: RNAcentral
GACAGAGGGUGCAAACGUUGCUCGGAAUCACUGGGCGUAAAGGGCGUGUAGGCGGGAAGGAAAGUCAGAUGUGAAAUCCCCAGGCUCAACCUGGGAACUGCAUUUGAAACUCCCUUUCUUGAGUACCGGAGAGGAAAGCGGAAUUCCUGGUGUAGAGGUGAAAUGCGCAGAUAUCAGGAGGAACACCGGUGGCGAAGGCGGGUCUCUGGGCAGUUACUGACGCUGAGGAGCGAAAGCGUGGGGAGCGAACAGG